AUAAGGAUCGGCUAACUNCGUGCCAGCAGCGCGUAUNNACGGAGGAUNCGAGCGUAUCNNGGANUAUUGGUUNAAAGGGUGCGCAGGCGGGGAUNUAGUCAGGGGGUGAAAGACGGUGGCUCANCCAUCGCAGUGCCUUUGAUACUGGAUUCCUGAAAUAUACNUGAGGUAGGCGGAAUGUGGCAAGUAGCGGUGAAAUGCAUAGAUAUGCCACAGAACACCGAUUGCGAAGGCAGCUUACCAAAGUAUGAUUGACGCUGAGGCUCGAAAGCGUGGGGAUCGAACAGGAUUAGAUACCCUGGUAGUCCACGCCCUAAACGAUGAACACUCGAUGUCGGCGAUAGACAGUCGGCAUCCAAGCGAAAGCGUUAAGUGUUCCACCUGGGGAGUACGCCCGCAAGGGUGAAACUCAAAGGAAUUGACGGGGGCCCGCACAAGCGGAGGAGCAUGUGGUUUAAUUCGAUGAUACGCGAGGAACCUUACCCGGGCUUGAAAGUUACUGAAGAUAGCAGAGAUGUUAUCGUCCUUCGGGACAGGAAACUAGGUGCUGCAUGGCUGUCGUCAGCUCGUGCC
This 573-nucleotide ribosomal RNA is filed under the name uncultured bacterium. RNAcentral describes it as "bacterial SSU rRNA". It matches the Rfam family "Bacterial small subunit ribosomal RNA", at positions 486 to 1066 of the family's 1533-position model. The record is from RNAcentral.